UCCUGCUUCUCCGAGGUCAUUCCACCAUAGUCGAAGCUCCAAAAGAAUUUUGUUCAUUAUCGUGCUCAUUCUGCAUAUUUAUUAGGGCGAAUUAAUAUUCUCAAAACAUUUAAAACUAACAUCUUUAUUUUAAAAGAUAGGACCGGCUUGGCAAAUACGGCCUUCCAACACUUCGCCGAGAGGGUUUUCCAGGUUGUGCUUGCUUACAAGUCCAAACAAAAUUUAGAGGUAGCCAUUUGCGUAAGAUCAGCCUUACGUCGUCCCUUGUAGCAACAUUCAGCUAUUAUCGCGAUAAUGGCACCAUCCGACUUAUUUAAGAGUAAGAAAAUAAACUCAGGCAUUUCUUGGCAGUUUUUGAAAAAGGGGUUGGCCCUGGCGAAAAUAAUUUAUCAAAACCCGGGACAUUAUUGAAAAACUCCAAAAUUUGGUGCCUUUGUUUUGUUGUUUUUGUUGUUUUGUAUUUUUGUUUUGAAAAAUCCAGCAGCAUUUCGGCGUUAUUUGAGCAUUGGUUUUAAAAAGUGACAACCCUAGCACUGCUCUUUUUCUCAAUUAUUCCUUUUUUUAAGGCUGGUCAACAAGUGAAUCCAAAGCAAAUAAAUGUGCAAGUAGCACGUAAAAAAUGCAUCAGGGUGGUCUUUUAUUUCAGGGCACCUAUCCUAGACGGACCCAACCCCUGUGAUGAGUCCCCUAAGCCAAAAUGCAUGAUGCAAAUAAACGUUCCUACUAGGGAUCCGGCAUGAAGUUUUGUUAUACUAAGUUGAGAACUUCGAUAUAGGGUGUAGACUGUGUGCCCGAGCAGACAACUCGAGUCGAGGCGGGGUCUAAGUACCGUCCCUAAGUCAAAAUGCAUGAUGCAAACAAACGUUCCUACUAGGGAUCCAGCAUGAAGUUUUUUUAUACUAAGUUGAGAACCUUGGUAUAGGUCUAGACUGUGUACCCAAGUGGACAACUCGAGUCGAUGAGGUGGCUACGUACCGGGGACUCGCGAGAUCGUCUAGCUUUGUAACUUGUCCGGCCUCUUUCUUAUUUCAGGGUAUGACACUAACAGAAUACGGAGUCUCAACCAGUAAGCACAACCCCGGAGGUGUGAAUUGAAGGGUUUCCUAACAGUUUAUAUAUACAGUUUAGAUAAUAUCAAAGCAGUAAAACAUUCGGCAUUUAGCACAGAACAGGUAAGAAAAUCAGAAGAAGCCAAAUAUAACAGUUAUUGUAAGCUGGAAUUCUUGAACCCCGAACCACAGAUUCUGGGUUCGUUCCCCAGCAGAGUCGCCACAGCUGUCACACCACCUUUUUUCUACUUACACGUGGUUACCCCGAAAGAUAACAUAUGUAUAGGAGUUUUUCCAAUUAAAGUGACACUAUUUGAUAUGGGAUUAAUUAUUUUAUUUAACAGUCGCCACUCGGCAUAGGUUUGGUUUUUGGUGUCCCAAGUCACCGGUUUAUUUCGAAUCCCAAAUCGAGGAAAUUUUUACUGCCCAAUUGGAGUCUACGAACCAGAAAUCCUUGAGUAAGAAAUUCUGUUGACCAGAGGGAAGGAGUUAGGCACCCUCGGACCCGUGGUUCUAGCACGGUCGCUUAAACUCAUUAUAAGUAGCUAAAAUAUGAUUAGCUAUACCUGUUAACUUGAAACUUUAGAUUGUUAAACGCUUUUAACAUCUUUUAGGAAAAUUUGCAAUGUCGCUAAAACACGUCGUGAAUCGGGUCACAUAAAUGCACCAGCAAUUUUGGACAUAUUUUAAUUUAAUUGAGAAUGGGAUUUGGAUCACAUAAAUGUGCACCCGAAUUUAGGAAGGCAUUUUCAUUAAACAUGCGCCUAUAGCUACUACGUCUUCGAAAUUCGUGGAAAGGCCGUGAAAUUCGCUAAACGACACUUUCUAUUUUCUAUGUAUUUUAAUGAAUUAAAGAGCCAUCCCAUAGUAUUGGAUUAGAUUAGUACGGCUCCCCUUAUUUUUAGUACGUUCUAAAGUAUGCAAAAUUCUCUACUAUUGCUAGUGCUUAAAUGAACUGAUCAUUAUAGGCCGUAUAUUUGGGAAAAAAUAAUACGCGCACCCUAUCCUCAUUCAUGGAUAAUUUCAUACACUUAUUCAAGUUUGGCCAGCUCAGAAUACACAUUAUAUUUGCUGUGACUAACAGCUGUUGGGCCUGGUUCGUGACUGGCUUGGACCUUUUAUUCGUCCAGCCUAGAAACAAGUAAUAUUACAAUUCCCUGGUGCUUACUGGGCCUCUCGGAUGAGCCCAGUGUUGACUUGGACGAAACAGUCCAAAAUCUCCAUAACAAUUCUUUGGUUCGAAAUUAUAUACAAAAAUUGAAUAUCUACACAUUCACAAAGAAAAUACUAACGAUCAUUUUCAUAUCGAUUUUCAAUAUUAGAUCUAAACUAAAUGAUUCACAUACUCAUCACUCGGAGUAUCUGAAUCCAACUUUUAAAAUUCAAGUGUGAUUCAAGCUACAGUAUAUGGGAUAAAUCUGGUGGACGAAACAGUCCAAAAUCUCCAUAACAAUUCUUUGGUUCGAAAUUAUAUACAAAAAUUGAAUAUCUACACAUUCACAAAGAAAAUACUAACGAUCAUUUUCAUAUCGAUUUUCAGCAUUGGAUCUAAACUAAAUGAUUCACAUACUCAUCAAUCGGAGUAUCUGACUCCAACUUUUAAAAUUCAAGUGUAAUUUAAGCUACACUACAUGGGAUAAAUCUGAAAACAAAUUAUUAUUAAUUGUAUUGAGAUUUGGGUAAACUAAACUAUACACAAUGUUUUGGAUUUCAACUAGUUAUUAAGCUAAUAUUUCCUGAGUCCCUCAUUUUUUUAAACAAAGCAGGAAAUAAGCAUCUAAAUCAACCAAAUCAAUAACUAUACUAUAAGCUAUUCAUGCUUAAAAUGAUAGUUCGAUUGUAUGUUUGGUUUGGAGCCCCAGGGCUCGGGUGAGUUUUGAUUAGGUUCAGGGAGGUCUAAGUCAUAAAAUAUAGCAGGAUUGCAGGUGAACCAGCGCGGCUGCUCUCCCUAUCAGUGCGGUCCGUGCUGGAAGAAUCAGAGAAUUUUUAUAUUGCAGGUCUUGGAAACCUCUGGCGCGGCCCGCGUGAACACGUGUGUGGCUGUGAAGGGGCCAGCGCGGCCGCGGUCCGCGUGGCUGGCCUCAUAGAACCAUCAACCUCUAGAUCUACCAGUGCGGCCGCGGUCCUUCUUGCGCGGUUCGCGCUGGGACUUCUGGGAAGGUUUAAAGAGACGGUAUUUUCAGUGAUUUUAUACUUUUUUUAAAACCCCAAAACAUAAGAGGCGAUUUAUCAAACAACUCUUCUUCUCCAAAACGAUUGGUAAGUGAUUUCUAAACUAUUUUUCCCGUUACGUAGCAUCUUUUAACAUGAUUUCAACUUCAAAACAAAGGUUUUAAUGAAAAAUUUGUGAAUUUUGGGUAGAACCUAGGUUUUGUAAAAUUGGGGGUUUUGGACCUCAAUUCGAGGUCCGAUUCCAAAAUGAAUCAUAUAUUUGAGUUCAUGGGGGAAUGGAUAAUCGUGUUUUGGUUUGAACCUCGAGUUUUGACCAUGUGGGCCCGGGAGCAUUUUGGCCUUUUGGAUAAAACUUGGUAAAAAUUUAUUUUCAUGCUUUGGGGUUGAUUUCAAUUGUAUUUAUUAAUGUAAUAAAGUGAUUUGUGACUAAACUCGAGCGGUUUGUUGGUGGAAUCAAGGGGUAAAGUCAUACUUGAGGUUUGAAUCAAGUUUUAUGCAUCGAGGUAAAUGUUUUAUUUAACCCUAGCUUGAGGGAUUAGGAGUUGAGUCUUAUUUGCUACGUGUUUGUAUUGUGUACGACAUAUGGGUAUAGUGAUGACUAUCCUUAUGUUGAUGUCGAUCAUGACCGUGGGUCUUAAAUUGAUAGUUGUGAAUUCUUAAUUGAUCAAAUAAAACCCUUGAUUGAUAAAUCCUUGAUACUGAGCAUUGGUUUUAACUGUGCCGAGAAGAACUUUAAUAGGAUUGGUUAUAGCUGACUCUCACUUGCCAGGGUAUUUGAAUUGUUGUUAUUGUAUUCCCUUGUCGAGAAGUUAUUACAUUGUCUUGUUCCCUUGUCGGGAUUAUUUUGUAUAUUGUGUUAGAUCAAAAUGGGAGUGGUGGUAUGCCUAUCACAAGAUAUUAAUGAAAUAAGAUCGGGUGGUACGCCUACCACAAGAUAUUGACUGAAAGGGAGCGGCUGGUACGCCUAUCACAAGUUAUGAUGAAAUGGGAUCAGAUGGUACGCCUACCACAAGUUAUGAUGAAAUGGGAUUGGGUGGUACGCCUACCACAAGUUAUGAUGAAAUGGGAUCUGGUGGUACGACUACCACAAGUUAUGAUGAAAUGGGAUCGGGUGGUACGCCUACCAUAAGACAUUGAUUAAAAUGGGAGCAGGUGGUACGCCUACCAUGAGAUAUUGAGAAAUGGGAUCGGGUUGCACGCCUGCAACGAGAUGAGUAUUUAAGUGAAAGUUGUUUCAUAUAUUCUUAUUUGUGUCAGUAUCUUUACAAUGGGUUCUUUGUCAGUUCUGAGAAUUUUGUUUGUUUUGCUAUCCCCAGAGCAUGUUUCCCCUCCCCAGUUUUACUUCUUAUUUCCUGAUGUUUCCUUCGCCAUAUAUUAUGUAAUUGUACAGGUUUAUCUAGAGUCUGGUCCUAGCGUCGUCACUACUUCGCGGGGUUAGGCCAGUCACUUACCAACACAUGAGGUCGGUUGUGCUGAUGCUACACUCUGCACUCACAUGCAGAUAUCGGAGCAGCUUUUGAGCAGAAGCAAUAGAUUGGGAGUAGACCUCCAGACCAGAGACAUCGAGGUAGUCCUGCUUACAUCCACAGGCCCGAAGUAUCCUCUAUCAUUAUUUCAGUUUGUUAUCCUUGUACGGAGACAGACAGAUUAUGACUUCUUUCAGUCUAUUGUAUGUAGUAAUCUUAGAAGUUCGUGCGUAAUGUGACACCAAAUCUUCGGUAGAGUUCUGUAUUGGGAUUCCGCAUUUCCUUUCAGUUAUUUCCAUUCGAGACUUUCGCUUUUAUCAUUAAAUGCUUCAAUUUUUUAAAAUUUAUUGAUGGUUGCUAAAAGAGAUAAUUAAUAAAUGGCUUGCCUAACUCCUAAUAGCAGGCGCCGUCACGACUCCCAAGGGUGAGAAAUCUGUGUCGUGACAAGUUGGUAUCAGAGACAUAGGUUACAUAGGUCUCACAACUCACGAACAAACUUGGUAGAGUUUGAGGGAUCUAUACUGAGACGUCUGUAUUUAUCCCCAGAGGCUACCGAGUUAGGAAAAUUUCACAUUUGUUCCUUCUUGUCGUGCGGUUCUGUUUCUCAAAUACUGAUUGUCUUUCUACUCUGUUCUUUGCAGAAGGCGAGAACACGCGCUUCAUCAUCUUCUGCUCAGAAGUUCGAGCCCCAGGCAACCCCCCCUAGGGGCAGAGGGUGAGGCCGAGACCGUGCAAGAGGCCGAGAUAGGGCAGAGCCUAGCCCCGAGUAGCAGCACCAGUGGCGUAGCCUCAGGUGGAUUUUGACGAGGAGGUUCUGGCCCCAGCUCUAGCAGUUCCGGUGGGCCCAGCUCAGGUCCCAUAGGGGUUCAUUGCCACCCCAGUUUUUUAGGAUGUUCUGGCCUGGUUAAUGGGUCUUAUGGAGAGCAUCCCCCGGGCAGGUUUGCUUCCUGUAGCACCAACCAUCUCUCAGGUCGAAGGAGGGGCCUAGACUCCUGAUACUCGUACUCCAUAGCAGGUAGCUUUGCAGGUUCAGAUAUUAGUAGUUCAGCUAGCUAUAGUAGUUUAGCCGUGAGUGGUUGUUCAGACCGACAGUGGAGCGAUUAUGUCCGCAAAUGCUUUGUGGACGUUGGAUAGGUUCAUGAAGCUCUUCACUACUUCUUUCAGUCGUGCACCCACUGGCGACCCUUAGGAUUAUUUGGAUAGCUGCCAUGAGGUUCUUUCAUCAUCAACUUUUAGCUUAUUCAGAGUGGAGAGAGAGCAAACAAUCGCACUAGAACCAUUGUCGACUAAUACCCGGGUAACCACAGAAUCUUCGCACUUCACCAUAAGAUAAAGGGCUCUAUUGUACUCAGUACCCUCUACGGGUAAUUCAUCAUCUGAAAAAGUGACUUUGCUUACCUCGAAAAUCUUGUUGGAUAUCUUUUCCAAGUGAUUUAUUGAGACUUUGUUAGGAAUGUGGGCCUCAUUUAGGAUAUUCAUCAGUGCCGACGUGCUCAUCUGAAUGAAUUAACAAUGACAUCAGUGAAAUUUGAGCAGGCGUCUUCCUCAACUGCUCCAAAAUAGAAGAGUCUUGCACCUUCAUCUUUUUCAAAAACUCCUUUGCUUCUUCUUCAGUCACGGCUUUCUUCACCAAUACUAGGUUAUCUUUGGAGGUUUUAGCUUUUCUUACUUCUCGAGGGCGAAGCAUCUCCCCGACAGGGUCAAUCUAUGGGUCCCGCAUACUUCUUCUUUAACCUCUUUUCUUUUGUAAGUCAUUGUCACUCGCUCAUAAUUCCAAGGGACGACCUAGAUGUUGACUAUUGGUAGCUUAGUUAUAGGUUUGAUAAUUACACGCUUUGUGCGAGCACCUUUCACAACCACGACAGGCUUGUUUGCCACCCCUCGUACCACCACUUUUUUUUUUCUUGUUUCACCGCACCAUCAGUUGAGGACCCCUUCUUGAUCAUUACAGUUGGUUCACUAUUUGCUAUUCAACUUGAUCAGUGAUUUCUCCUUUGUUGACUUUUCAACCGGCUUAGCUUCACUUGACUGAAUCACCAUUACGGUCUGUGAAGGCUUCUUAGGCUCCCCUCUUCUAUGCACUAUCUCAAUCAUAUUUACCUCAUAAUGAGCCGGCAGUGGGUUUUGGUUGAUAUUAGGCAUCUUCAAAGCUUGGAAUUUAAUUCGAUUGGUAUCAAUAAGUUCUUGAAUAGCUAUUUUCAAUUUCCAACAUUUCUCUGUGUCGUGCCUCGAAGCACCAGAACAAUUUUCGUAACUCACAAAAUGGUCAAGAUUUCUCGGGGGAGGAUUUGGCAGUUUUGGAUCGAUCGACCUCAGCAUACCCAAUUACUUAGCUUGUGGAUCAAAUUAGUAUAGGAUUCUCCCAAUUGAGUAAAAGUCUUCUACCUCUCAUUCUUGAAGGCUUGAUUGGGCCGGAUACCUGUUCCAUGGGGAUUUUUGUAGGCUCUUAGGGGUGAAUAGGCACUUUGUGGAGCUGGGUAGGUAUUCUGUAGGGUUGGCGCACACUAUUGUGUGUGGGCAGGAGGUUGAGUGUAUGUUUGUACAUGAUGAAUAUAAAAACGGGGAUCUGUGGUGGGUAGUAGUGUUGUGGUGGGCUAUCUGGAGUGCGGGGUUAAGUUUGGUGCUGGGGUCGAGGCUGGUUGUAAUAAUGUGAUGGGCCUUUGGAUCCGAACCAAGCUCCUGACUCAAUUGUUGCGACAUCCUCUUUCUUUUUCUUUCCAAUUACUCUCCCAAUUCUGCUUUGGAUGGCUUGGGUGGUUGCCUUGAUCGCCAAAUAGCUCAUGAUCUUAUUAGACUUGAGCCCUUCUUUUACCAUGAUCCCCAUUUUCACCACUUCAUUGAAGGACUUGCCUACAGCCGAUACCAAAUGACCGAAAUAAGUGGGCUCUAAGUCCUACAGGAAAUAAUCCACCAUUCCACUUUCUUUCAUUGGAGGGUAAACCCUCACUGCUUACUCUCUCCAAUGGAACCCAUAUUCCUUAAAACUUUCAUUAUGCCUUUUCUCGAGUUUUGUCAAAGAUAGAUGAUCCGGAAUAAUCUCAAGAUUGUACUGGAAGUGACAAGAAAAUGACUGGGCUAGAUCAUCCCAUGAGUACCAUCUUCCGUGAUCCUGCUAGGUAUACCAUUCCAAUGCUGAACCACUCGUACAAAUCAAACUUGGGCUUUUUAAACAUUGCUAGCAAUUGCACAUAUGGAAAUAAGCAUAGAUCUUUGUAAGCCAAACUUACUUCACCUCCCAACCUCCGCAUGUCUCUGAAUGACUGUUCUAUGCUUUUUAACUUUCCUGAACAUUUUCUCCUGUUCGGGAUUUUUGGACGGUUUCUCAGCUUUCAUAGGGACAUCAAAACGGGGAGUGUAUGAGUAGGGUUUUGGGCUUUAAAAGUAGGCUCCGAAGGGUAAUAAUGGUUAUCGUGUGGUUGGAAAAAAGAUUCACUGGAAGAUCUGCAGAGUGUAACGGGUGGGUGCCACGAAAAAAGGAGUGGCUGGAGUAGGGUAUAGAACUGGUUUGGUGGUGGAGCUGGUAGUGUUUGGGAGGUGAUGCUUUAGUUGUGUUGGUGGAUGGGAAAUCUCGAGGAAGAAUCGGUGAUAGGAUGAUCCUGCGACUGAGCCAAUGGAGGGACGAAGGUAGGGUUGGUGGGCUAAGCUGGUGGUGGUCGCCCUUUUGUUUCACUUUAUACAUCUCUUCUUUCAUCACAUUAAUAUCCAACUCUUCCACCUCUCUUGAGGGAUCUAUGAUACUCGCAUCAGGCUCCUGGUUAGCCAUGCUCGACUUGUUUUUGGACCGGGUGUUGUAUGGGUCGGUUGCUAGAACGCCACAAAACUAACCACCUACCUACUACUAGAGGACAACUACAAGCUUGUUAGCGGUCAGGGUUUAACAAAUAGGCAACUGCACAUUUUGGAAUGAAUGCACCGAAGUAGUUAUCAGUUUAUAUUAUGCAUUUGAUUGGCUAUUUUCGUUAUCCCGGCCUUUCCUUAUUUGUAUUUACAAUUUUUCUUUUUCUCUCUCUUUUUUCACCCAUGCCUUUCUCUGCUUGAUUUUUCUUUGUUGUUUAUUAUCUAUCUUAUUUUUUUAUUGAUUUCUUCUCACAUUUUUUUAUUUCCCUCUAUUUUUUUCCCUUUGUUUUUCCUCUCUUUUCCUCUUCUCUUUUUUUUUCUAUUUUUCUCUUUUAUUUUGGUUAUGGUCAAAUCCUAUGAAGAUUACCUACGUAUUGACCCCCCAUCAAUCAAACCGAGCGUAGUUCUGGAGGAUAAGUAUAAAAUAAGUAGUAACAUAUUUUAGAAUUUUCAAAUUUUCAUAAGAAGCAAUGUUUUGAUUAUAAUGACUCAAGGACUAAUAGACUCAAAAGCAACUAAUAGACUCUAAUGAAGAGGUGAAAAUACAACCUCAAGAACAAACUGAUAGACUCCAACAGAAGGUGAAAAUACAAACUCGAGGACAGACUAACAGACUCCAACGAAAAUCACGAAUACAUCAAUGCCUCUACUGCUCCUGGGGCCCAUGGGACAUCAUUCGGUCUCUCCACGGGCCUACGUGAUAAAUCCCCUUGGAGGUGGAGGAGGUCUUCCAUUACCUGGCGGACAAAGGUCAUCGCAGUGGCAAAGAACAUGGAUCUAGUCAUACCUUUACAACUACUACACUUCAUCGCGAUGUAAUCGAUGAUCCUUCGGAUUCUCUCUCUCUCAUGACAUCCUUUUCUUGCAACAAACGCUCAAUCUACUGGGCCCUGGCUUCCAAAGUUUGUUCGGCUACUUGAUUCUGUUCUUGAAGUUUUUUCAAAUCUUUUUCUAGAUGUGUCGUUGCCAUAUUGCAGUGUUCUCUUUCAGCCUUAAAGUCCUUCGCCUAAUUGACCAUUUUGUUCGCGACGAUAAUGACCCUUUUCUUCAAUCCCUCAACCUUGUUGUCUUACUUUUCUUUUAACUUUUUAACCAGGCGCGCUCGUUUCUCUGCAUUUUUGGCCAAUUGCUUUCGAGCCCAUGCUAGUUCACCCUCUGCUUUGUUUAAAUCUAAACUAUAUUCACCUACUUUCUGCCUAAGGUGGUCUAUGAGUUUCUCAUUUUUUACACUUUUGGUGGGGUUUUCUGCCGCUAGUUUCAUUUUCUGAAUCUGGCUCGAAGGGCCUCAUUUUCUUUGGCUAGCAUUCUCUUUUCACCCUCAUCCGCUGCGUCUUGCAAAACCAUUUUCAAAUUGAAGGUCUUUGACUUACUUUUCCAGCUUUCUUGUCGUGGCCCUGUACUCAUUUUCCUUGGUCAACCAAACCCACUUUUCGUGUGACGCCUCAACAAAUUCUUGAAGAUGGGGUCUUUUAGCCGGCCUUGUAAACUCAAUUUCCCUUUUAUACCAAACAAGUUACCCUGGUGAAACUUCACCUUUGGAUAGAUCACGCACACACGUAUUUGCCGUCAAAUACUGACACUCGCUCCAAAUCUGUCGGAAUGCUGCUUCAUGAAACUGACCAUCAUGACCAAUCUCGACUGCCCGGGAACUAAGAUCUUCAUCUUUUGGCAAUAUGUGACAUCUCCCCAGCUGUCUCAAAACCCGGUAUGGGGCAUAAGGCUUGAUACUCCUGAGACCCAUCAAGAGGAAAUAAGGCCUGAUAGAUGGUAUGUAUAUGAUCUCACCUAUAGGAAGCCAUCCAAAUGUCCAUUCCAUUUGUCUUACGAUGAGGGAAUGGAGGUGUGAUACCCAUUCUGUGACCCCUUCAGGCAGGCUAACACCAUCAACCCUAGUAUAAAAUUACUUUAUGCAGUUUUUCUCUAUCAACCCAUAACUCAUGAAUUGAGGACAAUGACACAGGUGUUCAAUCAUCCACAUCUGCAGCAACAAUUUGCAUCCCUCGAAAAGGUCUCCUCCGACUUUGCAGGCUGUAAGAGUGCGGAAGAUUUCAGCUACUAUCAUGGGUGCGAGUGUGCUUUUGGCCUGAGUAAGCAAAGUGCUGACUAUCCCAUUUAUUCGUGUGUCGAUGUUCCCAUCUUUCUUAGGAAACACUAGAAGACCCAAGAAUACUACCAUAAAAGCAAUGCACUGAUGCUCUUUCCAUUUGAGGUGAUUCCCUUUGCUACAAAUUUUGUACUCUGGAUUGUUAAACCCUCCUAUGUGACCGUACCUUUGAUAUAUAAACUAUUGAGUGGAAAAGUCGGCUACCAAAUAUUGGUUAUGGACCCAUGCUUAUCUUUAGGAAUCUAGAGACCUAUACACAGUGACGAUUCUUGUAAUAACCAGAUACUUGUGUCUAAAUGGAACCUCACAGCUCCCAACGUAUCCAGCAAUUUCUUCUAAAGUUGGGGUGAGUUCAAAAUUUGAGAAAUAAAACACAUUGUGGAUCGGGUCCCAAAAUGUAACCAACGCCUUUAUGAUGUCUCCUCUAGGCUUAAUUUUCAACAACCCAGUGAGACCUCCCAAAUAUGAAUUGACCUUAUCUUGCCCAGAUUUACCCAAAUCAUCCCACCACAUAUGCAAUUCCAAAAGGAUUUUGUUCAUGACUGUUAUUGACAAAUUUUUACUGGUGCUCAUUCUACACAUUUAUUAAGGCGAUUAAGCAAAAUCAUGAUUCAUUUGACUCAAAACAAGGCUGACACUGCCUUUUAUGCAAAUUCUUAUUUCAAAAAUAAAAUCCAUCUUUGCAAAUAUGGCCUUUCAGCAUUCUGGGAGAAAAUUCUAAGGUUGUGCUUCUUAAUCGGCCCAAAAAUUUGAAAAUGAGACCAAAGGCAGCUAUUCUUGCAAAAAUAGCCUUUUGGUAUCCUUUCAGGGACAUUCGGCUAUUUUUUGACAAGAAUAGAAUCAUCUUACUUAUUUAUAAAAAAGUGAUAAACUUUUAGUUUUUUGGGAUGCUUUUGCAAAAAGAAAGUUGAACCCAUUGGGGGUUGCCUGUGUAUCCGACAUCUGGUAAAAUCAAACUGGCAUAGUACGAGAAAUUCUGACAAAAAAACAACUCUUUUUUUCUUAAAAAACACAAAACUUUUCUUUUCUUUUCUUUUUCAAAAUUUUGGCAGAGUUUUAGUACAUUUUGGACAUUGAUUUUUCAAAAACAGACAAUCAUCUCUCUCAGUCCUCACAUUGAAUUUCCUUUUCUCAACUUUCCUAUAAGUCGGUCAAUAUGCAAAUCCGAAGAAAAUAAAUGCACAAAUAGCAAGUAGGAUGCAUUAGGAUGCUCUUUUCAUUUCAGGUACAAAUGUCCUAGACAGACCCAGCCCCUAUGUUGAGUCUUCAAAGUCAAAUGCAUAUGAUGCAAACAAACGUUCCUACUAGGAAUCCGACAUGAGGCUAAGUUCAUCUAGGAUCAAAACCUGGGUAUAAUAUUCUAGACUUGUGUACCCGAGCAGACAACUCAAGCCGAGAAGAGGGUUACGUACUGUGAACCAAAAGGCCAUCCGGCUUAGUAACUUUUCCGAGCUUCUUUCUUAUUUCAAGAUAUGACACUAAUAGAAUAGGGAGUCACGGCCAGUGUGCACAUCCCCGGAGAUGAAUAGAGAAGGGUUUCGCAGCAGUUUAUAUACAGUUGAGAUAAUAUCAAAGAGGUAAAAACAACAUUUAGCACAUUAGGCCCAAACAUAUAAUAAAAUCAGAUAAUAGAUAAAGCAAAAUAUAACAAUUCAUCUAAGCUCAAAUUUUGAACCUUGAUCUGGGAAACCAAAGAUUCUGGGUUCACUCCCCAGCAGAGUCGACGGAGCUGUCAUGCCUCCUUUUUUCACUACACCCCUGGAAUGGAGUAGAAGGAAGUUAUUUCCAACUUAAAGUGACAAUUGAAACAGAAUUAUUUAGUUAUUAAAUUCAGAGUUGCCACUUGAGAUAAUUUAUGGUGUCCGAAGUCACUGGUUUAAAUCCCAAAUCAAGGAAAAGAUUCACUCUGUUUUACAAUCCGCGAACCAAAAAUCCAAGUAAGGAAUUCUGUUAACCUAGGAGAAGGUAUUAGGCAUUUUUGAGUUCUGUGGUUCUAGCGCGGUCGCUCCACUGUUAUAAGCGGCCUAUUAUCUGAUUUUUAAUACAUUUCAAACCUAAAUGCAUUUUUAACUUCAUAGUUGAUUUUAUUCAUUUUAAGAAAGAUUGCAACGUCAUUUAAAAUAUGUCUUGAACCACGUCACAUAAAUGCACCCGCAGUCCGCAACACAUUUUAUCUAACAUUAUUGAGAUUUGGAUUUGGGUCACAUAAAUGUGCACCUGAGUUUAGGAAGGAAAAUUAUUAAAAUAACGCGUCUAAAGAAAAUACAUGUUUCUAACUUUGCGAGGGCCAUAAAAAUUCGCUAAAUAGCACGCCUCGAUUUUUUAGGGAUAAGAAUAUUAAUUAAGCGAGGGUCAUGUAAUUUAUGAUUUUGUUUGCCAUAGCACACCUUGAUUUUCAAUUAAAAAGGAAAUUCAAACUAAACUCCGAGGGCCAUACUUUAUGCAAUUGGUCAUUAUGCCACACCUCCAUUGCUAAAGAAACGAUGAAUUAAUUAAAGGGCUACUAAAAUCGUCACUACCCCAAAUGUUAAUGGAAAAGGGUUCUACUAAGGUCCAAGACUGGAUAAUAUAUUUAAUAAAAGAAAAAAGCUAAUGGUGUGAAGUCCAAUUUUUGGCCUAUCGUGAGGCCCAAUAACCUCAAAAGACGCGAGGUCAUUCUUAUUGUCCAAUUUGCAUCAGUCCAAUGUUAUGCUGAGGCCUGAGUAUUAUGAAAAACCCAGUAGCCUAAUACAGCUAUCAGAUCGUUGAGUUACAGGCCUUGUGCCAAAUUCUGCACAAGCCCAAGAGAAGAACCCAACCUUGGUGAAAUAUGCAUUAUGAAACGCCCCAUGUCUGCAUUUCGAGUCCAGGUACUAGCAGUAAGCAAUUUAGAUUUGAAAUAUAGAGUGACAAGAAAUUCCAAACCUCACAUAUCCAAGAAUUCGAUAUUGAACAACCCCAAAAUCUGAACUAACAAUUACUAGACAUCGAAACACUGAUGGUAAUUAAACAGACAAUGGUUCCAAGCCUUUUUUAGUUCCAACACAUGUGGCUAAUCCAUGAAAUACUAUCCAUUAGCUAUUACUGAAACUUAUAAGACUAAAAAUAAACAUGCUCAUUUCUGAAUUUACACAUUCAAGCCGAUUGUAUAAACAUUUCAAACUUCUACACCAUUUCUAAACUAAAAUUAUUCACAUGCUAUUUGACAAUACAUCGGCAAUAUCCUGAUUACCCUUAGCAUUUUUUAACCCCAAUUCAAACAUGAGAUUAACACCCAAAAAAAUGAUUAUCCAUAUUUAGCCAAGGAUGAAACAACCUCACUACAUUUUUAACCUACUCGAAGCCCUUAGUGCAACAGUCUAACAGUCCAAAAUUUAAUUACAACAUGGAAACUUAGCUAGUCAAAAGAAACCAACUAAACUACAUUGGAUCAAAUGGCCAAACAGAUAAACAUCAUGAAAGAUCACCACUGCGUUUAUUCUAUAUUCAAAUUGUCUACAUUAUGAAAGAUUCAGAAUCGGUACCUGGAGAUUUAAAGGAAAGAGGAGAAGAAACAGUAAUAGCAACAAAACAACAGCUUCAACAAAUCAGUCCAACCAAAAAUUUGAGGUGAAACAAUAACAAAAACACCCUCAAUUGAGCUAGGACUACAACAACUUCAAAUCAAACUUUAAAAAUCCAAAUUCAAACCAUUUCCAUAUCAAUUGAAUCAAAACUAUCUCAGAAAUGGAACAAAUCCAAGACUACUGGAAAAAUACAAUGGAACAGUACAAGAGCUCAGCCUUUUAUAUUUUUCAGAUUUUUAUCUUCCAAUCUCCGCCUUAAAAGGCAAGAAAAGGUGUCUUUAUAGGCAAGGGAAUAGGGUAGCAUUGAAGAAUUAGUUUUUACGCCUUAGUCCCUUUCUAAUUUUCUUUUUAACUCAUAAAUCCUUAGCUAAUUUUCCAUUUUGCUUAGCUACCCUUAAUGUAGUUAUCAAAUUAUCAACACAGCCCCACCCCAGCUUCUUAGGAAGCUUCCUAUUCUUUUAAAAAAAGAUUCCCUGAAACAGUUACCCAAAGUAUCCCUCGGACCUCUGAUAUUUACCCUCCUAACCUAAACCAACUAUGGGUCAUAUUGACCCAAGUUAAUGGGUCUGAAUUAGACCCAAGUCAAUUCCUUUUGGCUUAAUUUUUAGGUAUCAAUUGAAAUCAGUCGAAGAUUCAAAAAUCUGACCUAGAAUUAAUAAAGAGAAAGAGACACGAGAAUUUUAAGCCAAAGCCUGAAACCCCAAAGGGAAAAGAAAUAUACGAUUCAACUAAUUCUAAACAAACAACCAGAUAAUUAUGUUGACUAACAAACAGGGCGUGCAUUAAUAAUCUACAGGCAUGGUGUGAAGAAGCGGAACCACAAACAAAUAAACGAGAUGAAGAAGGAUAACUUUUAAAAAACAAAAUAACAAAAAAAAAAAAAAUACAAGAAAAGAACCAACCAAAAUGCAAACAUACCUAACGAACUGGCCAGGCCUUGAAGUUCUUGUUCAAAAUCUCGAUUUAACUGAAAGGGGGCCUCAAUCAGGUGUUCUCAUAUGAAAACACACGACCAAGGUCCGUUUUGGUCUUAAUCAACACUAAAUCUACCAAAUCUACAGAUUGACAUUUUUUAUGUCUCAUUUCAGCUUAAGAUUCGACGAGCUCAGGGGUGUUCGAAGGAAACUGACCUGAUAUUUGGAAAGAGGAGAGGGUAGUGGUUGUUUGGUGUUGAUUUGGGUAGAAUUGGGGUAGGCGUCACCGGAUUUGGAGCGGUGGGGAAAAAAGGGCUGCUAGGGUUUUGAUGGGUGUCUCUAAGAGAGUGUUUUGAGAGAG
Molecule: long non-coding RNA, 15448 nt
Filed under: Nicotiana benthamiana
Lineage: Eukaryota; Viridiplantae; Streptophyta; Magnoliopsida; Solanales; Solanaceae
Description: long non-coding RNA (NBEN_LNC026859)
Source: RNAcentral